RNAcentral lists this ribosomal RNA (440 nucleotides) under uncultured bacterium. RNAcentral describes it as "partial 16S ribosomal RNA". It matches the Rfam family "Bacterial small subunit ribosomal RNA", at positions 338 to 795 of the family's 1533-position model. The record is from RNAcentral.
CCUACGGGUGGCUGCAGUGGGGAAUCUUGGACAAUGGGCGCAAGCCUGAUCCAGCCAUGCCGCGUGAGUGAAGAAGGCCUUAGGGUUGUAAAGCUCUUUUGGCAGGGACGAUAAUGACGGUACCUGCAGAAUAAGCCCCGGCAAACUUCGUGCCAGCAGCCGCGGUAAUACGAAGGGGGCUAGCGUUGUUCGGAAUUACUGGGCGUAAAGCGCACGUAGGCGGGUCGUUAAGUCAGGGGUGAAAUCCCGGAGCUCAACUCCGGAACUGCCUUUGAUACUGGCGAUCUAGAGAUCGAGAGAGGUGAGUGGAAUUCCGAGUGUAGAGGUGAAAUUCGUAGAUAUUCGGAAGAACACCAGUGGCGAAGGCGGCUCACUGGCUCGAUACUGACGCUGAGGUGCGAAAGCGUGGGGAGCAAACAGGAUUAGAUACCCCGGUAGUC